UACGAAGGGGGCUAGCGUUGUUCGGAAUCACUGGGCGUAAAGGGCGCGUAGGCGGCGCGACAAGUCAGGCGUGAAAGCCCCGGGCUCAACCCGGGAAUUGCGCUUGAUACUGUCGUGCUUGAGGCCGGGAGAGGAUGGCGGAAUUCCCAGUGUAGAGGUGAAAUUCGUAGAUAUUGGGAAGAACACCAGUGGCGAAGGCGGCUAACUGGUCCGAUACUGACGCUGAGGUGCGAAAGCGUGGGGAGCAAACAGG
Molecule: ribosomal RNA, 253 nt
Filed under: uncultured bacterium
Lineage: Bacteria
Description: partial 16S ribosomal RNA
Rfam family: Bacterial small subunit ribosomal RNA
Source: RNAcentral